AGUCUCGCCGUCCAGAGGGAUUCGCCGAUUUGGUGUUCGUGGAAAGCUUAGUCCACGGUUUGUUGGCCCUUUCGAGGUAUUAGAGCGUGUUGGACCGGUUGCAUACAGGAUAGCUUUACCCCCGCGACUUGCUGGCAUCCAUGAUGUAUUCCAUGUCUCGGCGCUGAGGAGAUAUGUAUUCGAUCCAUCUCACGUGACUGACUUCACUCCACUAGAGAUUGGUGAGGAUCUGAGAUACGAGGAGCGACCGGUGCGGAUUCUUGCUCGUGAGACGAAAGAAUUGCGCAACCGGGUAAUUCCGUAUGUGAAGGUGCAGUGGAGCAACCACGAGGAGCGAGAGGCGACUUGGGAGCCCGAGACUGUGAUGAGGGAGUCCUACCCCGACCUGUUCGUUUCUCCGUGUUGAGAACCGAUUGUGAGCAAGGUGGAGUUCGGGUGGAGUUUCGUCGCCGACGUGGUGCCGCGGAGCCGUUCGGGCGCACGUUGUGUCGUAUUGGUGCUGUGAGGAGCUUGGGCGGGCGUGGAUUUCCGUCGUCCUCGACUUUGCGCCGACUCUUGAGGAUCUAUCGAGUAUUUUAGCUCGUACGCGACGUAGGAGCAUCGGAUUUCGACGAGAUUUGGUUCGUUGAAACCGAGACUUCGAGACGAAUCCAUAGGAUCCUUACUCGCCCGAUUUGGAGAAGGUUCCAGCGUCGACGUUUCGUAUUCUGGCCCGUUCUCUGCGUAGGAGCGUCGGAAUUCAGCGAAACCUGGACCAUUGGAUUCGUGACUUUGAGACGAAGCUUCAGAACCCUUGUUUGCUGAAUUUGGAUAAGCAGGAGAACCGGGGACUUCGACGGACCAGCGAGGGAUCAUUUUGGAUCCGGGCCACUUUCUUCGCUGCCAGGAGUUGCUUGAGAGGUGGGUUACAUCGGCUUUACUCCUAAGUUCUUAUUGGUCGACAUGUAUAGAUUUUGAUUUCGGUAAUUAAUGUUAGCUCAAAUUCAUGGAUUAAUUGUAGAUUGGUCAAUCUGAAUUUUGGAGCAUGUUUUAUAAAUUAAGUAGGUUAUACA
Long non-coding RNA from Ananas comosus (pineapple), 1052 nucleotides. RefSeq lists it as uncharacterized. The transcript has 5 exons. NCBI's taxonomy places the organism in Eukaryota, Viridiplantae, Streptophyta, Magnoliopsida, Poales, Bromeliaceae. The record is from RefSeq and is a predicted model, not a curated record.